AUGGGGUGACUGCGUACCUUUUGUAUAAUGGGUCAGCGACUUAUAUUCUGUAGCAAGGUUAACCGUAUAGGGGAGCCGUAGGGAAACCGAGUCUUAACUGGGCGAAUGAGUUGCAGGGUAUAGACCCGAAACCCGGUGAUCUAUCCAUGGGCAGGUUGAAGGUUGGGUAACACUAACUGGAGGACCGAACCGACUAAUGUUGAAAAAUUAGCGGAUGACUUGUGGAUGGGGGUGAAAGGCCAAUCAAACCGGGAGAUAGCUGGUUCUCCCCGAAAGCUAUUUAGGUAGCGCCUCGUGAACUCAUCUUCGGGGGUAGAGCACUGUUUCGACUAGGGGGUCAUCCCGACUUACCAACUCGAUGCAAACUGCGAAUACCGAAGAAUGUUAUCACGGGAGACACACGGCGGGUGCUAACGUCCGUCGUGAAGAGGGAAACAACCCAGACCGCCAGCUAAGGUCCCAAAGUCAUGGUUAAGUGGGAAACGAAGUGGGAAGGCUCAGACAGCCAGGAUGUUGGCUUAGAAGCAGCCAUCAUUUAAAGAAAGCGUAAUAGCUCACUGGUCGAGUCGGCCCGCGCGGAAGAUGUAACGGGGCUAAACCAUGCACCGAAGCUGCGGCAGCAAUACUAUGUAUUGUUGGGUAGGGGAGCGUUCUGUAAGCCUGCGAAGGUGUACUGUGAGGUAUGCUGGAGGUAUCAGAAGUGCGAAUGCUGACAUAAGUAACGAUAAUGCGGGUGAAAAACCCGCACGCCGGAAGACCAAGGGUUCCUGUCCAACGUUAAUCGGGGCAGGGUGAGUCGACCCCUAAGGCGAGGCUGAAAAGCGUAGUCGAUGGGAAACGGGUUAAUAUUCCCGUACUGGUGGUAACUGCGAUGGGGGAACGGAGAAGGCUAGGUUGUCCGGGCGACGGUCGUCCCGGUUCAAGCAUGUAGGCAGAGUGAUUAGGCAAAUCCGGUCACUUAAUGCUGAGGUGUGAUGACGAGCCACUAAGGUGGUGAAGCAAUUGAUGCCCUGCUUCCAGGAAAAGCCUCUAAGCUUCAGGUUACCAACAAUCGUACCCCAAACCGACACAGGUGGUCAGGUAGAGAAUACUCAGGCGCUUGAGAGAAC
This 1109-nucleotide ribosomal RNA is filed under the name Proteus vulgaris. RNAcentral's name for it is "partial 23S ribosomal RNA". It matches the Rfam family "Bacterial large subunit ribosomal RNA", at positions 588 to 1699 of the family's 2925-position model. The record is from RNAcentral. Lineage: Bacteria; Pseudomonadati; Pseudomonadota; Gammaproteobacteria; Enterobacterales; Morganellaceae.